This 497-nucleotide ribosomal RNA is filed under the name uncultured bacterium. RNAcentral's name for it is "bacterial SSU rRNA". It matches the Rfam family "Bacterial small subunit ribosomal RNA", at positions 28 to 526 of the family's 1533-position model. The record is from RNAcentral.
GAUGAACGCUAGCGGCAGGCUUAACACAUGCAAGUCGAGGGGUAUAGUUCUUCGGAACUAGAGACCGGCGCACGGGUGCGUAACGCGUAUGCAAUCUACCUUUUGCAGAGGGAUAGCCCAGAGAAAUUUGGAUUAAUACCUCAUAGUAUGUGAGAAUGGCAUCAUUUUCACAUUAAAGUCACAACGGCAAAAGAUGGGCAUGCGUCCCAUUAGCUAGAUGGUAAGGUAACGGCUUACCAUGGCGACGAUGGGUAGGGGUCCUGAGAGGGAGAUCCCCCACACUGGUACUGAGACACGGACCAGACUCCUACGGGAGGCAGCAGUGAGGAAUAUUGGACAAUGGGCGCAAGCCUGAUCCAGCCAUGCCGCGUGCAGGAUGACGGUCCUAUGGAUUGUAAACUGCUUUUGUACAGGAAGAAACACUCCCUCGUGAGGGAGCUUGACGGUACUGUAAGAAUAANGAUCGGCUAACUCCGUGCCAGCCGCCGCUGUAAGAC